Molecule: ribosomal RNA, 253 nt
Filed under: uncultured bacterium
Lineage: Bacteria
Description: partial 16S ribosomal RNA
Rfam family: Bacterial small subunit ribosomal RNA
Source: RNAcentral
UACGGGGGGGGCGAGCGUUGUUCGGAAUUACUGGGCGUAAAGGGUUUGUAGGUGGCCUGCUAAGUCAGACGUGAAAUCCCUCAGCUUAACUGGGGAACUGCGUCUGAUACUGGCGGGCUUGAGGACAGGAGAGGAACGCGGAAUUCCAGGUGUAGCGGUGAAAUGCGUAGAUAUUGGGAGGAACACCAGUGGCGAAGGCGGCUCACUGGACCGGAACUGACGCUGAGGCGCGAAAGCGUGGGGAGCAAACAGG